Molecule: ribosomal RNA, 497 nt
Filed under: uncultured bacterium
Lineage: Bacteria
Description: partial 16S ribosomal RNA
Rfam family: Bacterial small subunit ribosomal RNA
Source: RNAcentral
GAUGAACGCUGGCGGCGUGCCUAAUACAUGCAAGUCGAGCGAACAGACGAGGAGCUUGCUCCUCUGACGUUAGCGGCGGACGGGUGAGUAACACGUGGAUAACCUACCUAUAAGACUGGGAUAACUUCGGGAAACCGGAGCUAAUACCGGAUAAUAUAUUGAACCGCAUGGUUCAAUAGUGAAAGACGGUUUUGCUGUCACUUAUAGAUGGAUCCGCGCCGCAUUAGCUAGUUGGUAAGGUAACGGCUCACCAAGGCAACGAUGCGUAGCCGACCUGAGAGGGUGAUCGGCCACACUGGAACUGAGACACGGUCCAGACUCCUACGGGAGGCAGCAGUAGGGAAUCUUCCGCAAUGGGCGAAGGCCUGACGGAGCAACGCCGCGUGAGUGAUGAAGGUCUUCGGAUCGUAAAACUCUGUUAUUAGGGAAGAACAAAUGUGUAAGUAACUAUGCACGUCUUGACGGUACCUAAUCAGAAAGCCACGGCUAACUACGUG